UGAUUCACAUACAAUUUUAAGAAUGCCACCAUACAAUAGACCACCAAAUUUCUAACAUUUAUUUACAACUGUAAACUUGUUAUAGAAAAAUAUUUAUUGAAUAAAAGUAUAAUGCUUUAUUAUUUGCAAUUUUUACAAUUGACAAUGCAUGGAGUUACAUACGUAGUUCAUUACCGGGUGAAGUUUUCAGGAUCUCUUUAUGAUACAAAUAUUGCACUGAUGUUAUUGGGAGAAGUGCUAAGCUCCGCUUUAUAAGAUAUGGAGAUCGAACUGUCAAAAGUUUCAACAGUUUAGUUAGAGCUUAAGUUGUAUCUCAGAAUAAAAAAAUAUCUGUACUGCUACAACAAUUACAUAUUUGAAACCAUGGAUUGAAUCUAAAAUCAUUCAAUUUAAAACAACGAAAAGUAAUUGCAAAAUUUUCAAACAAGAUGUCCUACAGAUAACAACUACUACGAUGUGUUAACGAACUUGACUACCUUUGAGGGUGUGUUGACGAGCUUGACUACCCUUGAAGGUGUAACGAGCUUGAAAAAUCCUUGAGGGUGUGUUGACGAGCUUGACUACCAUUGAGGGUGUGUUGACGAGCUUGACUACCCUUGAAGGUGUAACGAGCUUGAAUAAUCCUUGAGGGUGUGUUGACGAGCUUGACUAUCAUUGAGGGUGUGUUGACGAGCUUGAAUACCCUUGAAGGUGUAACGAGCUUGAAUAAUCCUUGAGGGUGUAUUAACGAGCUUGAAUAAUCCUUGAGGGUGUAUUAACGAACUUGACUAUACCCUUGAUGGUGUGUUGACGAGCUUGGCUGCCCUUGAGGGUGUGUUAACGAGUUUGACUACCCUAAAGUGUAUCUUGACGAGAUUGACUACCCUUGAAGGUGUGUUAGCGAGCUUGGCUACCCAUAGGCGGAUCCAGGGGGGACCUGGGGGGAAAAUUUGGUUGAUUAUAUAGGGAAUCAUUGAAGCAUGACUGGAGCGGCCCCCCCCCUUUAGGUCAGUCAGCGGGUCCCCCUUAGGAAAAGUUCUGGAUCCGCCACUGCUACCCAUUAGGGUCUCGCAUAGUAUUAGAGUACAAAUGAAUACUUGAAGUUGUCCCAGUAAUGGACUGCUGGUCAUACAUGGAGGUAAAUGGUUAUACAGUAUAAAAGUAGAAUUAUUGGUAUGUUUGUGUAAAAUAUAAAUAUGCAUAUUUGAAUGUGUUUGCUUCAAGCUUGAAUAUUAUGAUCCUGGUCAUGCUUUGUAUGUUUGGUUCUCUAAACCUUUUGACAGCCAUAUUAUAGAACUGAUAAACAUUAUUAUUGAAAUAUAUGAAAAUAUUUUGAAAAAAGUCAUGCUAGCUGUUAACAUAUAGGUGGAUCCUUACUUUAUAGAAAAGAUAUACAAUAUUAA
Molecule: long non-coding RNA, 1382 nt
Filed under: Mytilus galloprovincialis (Mediterranean mussel)
Lineage: Eukaryota; Metazoa; Mollusca; Bivalvia; Mytilida; Mytilidae
Source: RNAcentral